AGAGUUUGAUCCUGGCUCAGGAUGAACGCUGGCGGCGUGCCUAACACAUGCAAGUCGAACGGGCCGCGCCUGAAACCUAGUGAAGGCGCGGCCAGUGGCGGACGGGUGAGUAACGCGUGGGCAACCUGCCGCGCACAGGGGGACAACGGCCGGAAACGGCCGCUAAUACCGCAUAAUCCCGUGGGGCCGCAUGGCCCUGCGGGGAAAGCCCGGGGCGACCCGGACGGUGCGCGAUGGGCCCGCGUCCGAUUAGCUUGUUGGCGGGGCAGCGGCCCACCAAGGCGACGAUCGGUAGCCGGCCUGAGAGGGCGGACGGCCACACUGGGACUGAGACACGGCCCAGACUCCUGCGGGAGGCAGCAGUGGGGAAUAUUGCACAAUGGGGGGAACCCUGAUGCAGCGACGCCGCGUGGGUGAAGGAGCACCUCGGUGCGUAAAGCCCUAUCGGCAGGGAAGAAACAGACGGUACCUGACUAAGAAGCCCCGGCUAACUACGUGCCAGCAGCCGCGGUAAUACGUAGGGGGCAAGCGUUAUCCGGAUUCACUGGGUGUAAAGGGAGCGUAGACGGCGACGCAAGUCUGGAGUGAAAGCCCGGGGCCCAACCCCGGGACUGCUCUGGAAACUGCGUCGCUGGAGUACGGGAGGGGCAGGCGGAAUUCCUGGUGUAGCGGUGAAAUGCGUAGAUAUCAGGAGGAACACCGGCGGCGAAGGCGGCCUGCUGGACCGUGACUGACGUUGAGGCUCGAGAGCGUGGGGAGCAAACAAAAUUAGAUACCCUGGUAGUCCACGCCGUAAACGA
RNAcentral lists this ribosomal RNA (800 nucleotides) under uncultured bacterium. RNAcentral describes it as "bacterial SSU rRNA". It matches the Rfam family "Bacterial small subunit ribosomal RNA", at positions 8 to 809 of the family's 1533-position model. The record is from RNAcentral.